RNAcentral lists this ribosomal RNA (1694 nucleotides) under Lycothrissa crocodilus (sabretoothed thryssa). RNAcentral describes it as "16S rRNA". It matches the Rfam family "Bacterial large subunit ribosomal RNA". Lineage: Eukaryota; Metazoa; Chordata; Actinopteri; Clupeiformes; Engraulidae. The record is from RNAcentral.
GCCAGAAAGCUAGCUCAAACACCUUAAUAAAACUUACAAUCUACAUUAUUAUUCAUACACUCCAACACCUCCAAACAAACCAUUUAUCCACCCCAGUAUGGGCGACAAAAAAGGAUACUUAUGAAGCCAUAGAUAAAGUACCGCAGGGGAAAGCUGAAAAAGAAAUGAAAAAACUCAUCAAAGCAUAAAAAAGCAGAGAAUCCCCUCGUACCUUUUGCAUCAUGAUUCAGCCAGUAAAACACAUGCAAAGAGACCUCUAGUUUGUAACCCCGAAACCCGACGAGCUACUCCGAGACAGCCUACCCAGGGCCAACCCGUCUCUGUGCCAAAAGAGUGGGAAGAUCUCCGAGUAGAGCCAAAAGACCUACCGAGCCCGGGUUAUAGCUGGUUGCCCCGAUAAAUGAAUAAAAGUUCAGCCCCGUUAGGCCCAACUCGCAACAGUCACACAUUUAAAGACAAAGAGCCCCAAACGGGAGUUAAUCAGAGGAGGUACAGCUCCCCUGAUAAAGGAUACAACCUUAUAAAGGAGAAUAAGGAAUAUAAUAAACAAGGCCACAGAUCCCAGUAGGCCUAAAAGCAGCCACCUGCCUAGAAAGCGUUAAAGCUCAGAUCCAAUUAAACCUGUUAUCCUAUUAGACCUCUCCGAAAUCCCUCCUUCUACCGGGCCUCUCUAUGCUUCCAUAGAAGAGAUUAUGCUGAAAUGAGUAACAAGAAGAUUAAACUUCUCCUAGCACAAGUGUAAAUCGGACCGGACUAACCACCGAUAUUUAACGAACCCAACAACAGAGGGCCAUACACCACCGUCACCUAAACCAAGAAAAUCAUAUUUACUAAAUCGUUUCCCCCACACAGGAGUGCUCAACCAAGGAAAGACUAAAAGAAAAAAAAGGAACUCGGCAAACCUAAACCCCGCCUGUUUACCAAAAACACCGCCUCUUGCACACACAGUAUAAGAGGUCCCACCUGCCCUGUGACCAAAAAAGUUUAACGGCCGCGGUAUCCUAACCGUGCGAAGGUAGCGCAAUCAAUUGCCUUUUAAAUGAAGGCCUGUAUGAAUGGUAUAACGAGGGUUUAACUGUCUCUUUUUUCCAGUCAGUUAAAUUGAUCUACCCGUGCAGAAGCGGGUAUAAAAAUACAAGACGAGAAGACCCUAUGGAGCUUCAGACGCUAACCAAUUUACAAAAAGCAUUCCAAGCCAAACACAUCAAACGCUCGUAAAACUGGAACAACCGUCUUAGGUUGGGGCGACCACGGGAGAAAACAAAGCUCCCGAGCAGACCAGGGACACCCUGAAACCAAGAGUGACAACUCUAAGCCACAAAAACUUUGACUGAAAUGAUCCGGCCACAGCCGAUUAACGAACCAAGUUACCCUAGGGAUAACAGCGCAAUCCCCUCCCAGAGUCCAUAUCGACAAGGGGGUUUACGACCUCGAUGUUGGAUCAGGACAUCCUAAUGGUGCAGCCGCUAUUAAGGGUUCGUUUGUUCAACGAUUAAAGUCCUACGUGAUCUGAGUUCAGACCGGAGAAAUCCAGGUCGGUUUCUAUCUGUAAACAAUCACUCCUAGUACGAAAGGACCGGAAUGAAAAGGCCCAUACCACAAGCAAGCCUUCCACCUACCUGCUGAACACAACUAAAGCAGAAAAAGAUGAGUAACCUUUUGGCCCAAGAAAAAGGCCGUCUACAUUAUUCCGC